AUGAACGCUGGCGGCGUGCCUCAUACAUGCAAGUCGAGCGAACAGACGAGGAGCUUGCUCCUCUGACGUUAGCGGCGGACGGGUGAGUAACACGUGGAUAACCUACCUAUAAGACUGGGAUAACUUCGGGAAACCGGAGCUAAUACCGGAUAAUAUAUUGAACCGCAUGGUUCAAUAGUGAAAGACGGUUUUGCUGUCACUUAUAGAUGGAUCCGCGCCGCAUUAGCUAGUUGGUAAGGUAACGGCUUACCAAGGCGACGAUGCGUAGCCGACCUGAGAGGGUGAUCGGCCACACUGGAACUGAGACACGGUCCAGACUCCUACGGGAGGCAGCAGUAGGGAUUCUUCCGCAAUGGGCGAAAGCCUGACGGAGCAACGCCGCGUGAGUGAUGAAGGUCUUCGGAUCGUAAAACUCUGUUAUUAGGGAAGAACAAAUGUGUAAGUAACUAUGCACGUCUUGACGGUACCUAAUCAGAAAGCCACGGCUAACUACGUG
This 496-nucleotide ribosomal RNA is filed under the name uncultured bacterium. Its description in RNAcentral is "partial 16S ribosomal RNA". It matches the Rfam family "Bacterial small subunit ribosomal RNA", at positions 29 to 507 of the family's 1533-position model. The record is from RNAcentral.